GUCCACGCCGUAAACGAUGGAUACUAAGUGUUUGGAGAGUUAACCCUCUGAGUACUGAAGCUAACGCAUUAAGUAUCCCGCCUGGGAAGUACGGUCGCAAGGCUAAAACUCAAAGGAAUUGACGGGGGCCCGCACAAGCGGUGGAGUAUGUGGUUUAAUUCGAAGCAACGCGCAGAACCUUACCUACCCUUAACAUCCCGUGCUAUAUACAGAGAUGUAUAGUUCCCUUCGGGGACGCGGUGAUAGGUGCUGCAUGGCUGUCGU
This 264-nucleotide ribosomal RNA is filed under the name uncultured bacterium. RNAcentral describes it as "partial 16S ribosomal RNA". It matches the Rfam family "Bacterial small subunit ribosomal RNA", at positions 793 to 1055 of the family's 1533-position model. The record is from RNAcentral.